Molecule: ribosomal RNA, 251 nt
Filed under: uncultured bacterium
Lineage: Bacteria
Description: partial 16S ribosomal RNA
Rfam family: Bacterial small subunit ribosomal RNA
Source: RNAcentral
UACAGAGGGUGCAAGCGUUAAUCGGAGUUACUGGGCGUAAAGGGCGCGUAGGCGGUUAUUUAAGUUUGAUGUGAAUCCCUGGGCUUAACCUAGGAACUGCAUUGAAUACUGGGUAACUGGAGUACUGUAGAGGGUAGUGGAAUUUCCGGUGUAGCGGUGAAAUGCGUAGAGAUCGGAAGGAACACCAGUGGCGAAGGCGGCUACCUGGACAGAUACUGACGCUGAGGCGCGAGAGCGUGGGAGCAAACAGG